GGAUGUGAGGGCGUUCUGGCUGCGACAUCUGUCACCCCAUUGAUCGCCAGGGUUGAUUCGGCUGAUCUGGCUGGCUAGGCAGGUGUCCCCUUCCUCCCUCACUGCUCCAUGUGCGUCCCUCCCGAAGCUGUGCGCUCAGUUGAAGAGGACAAUCUUACCCGACAGAGGGGAGAAAAAAGAAUUCUCGUGUACCCUUUGCCCCAUUUCCCCGGUGGUAAUGUCUUGCAAAACUAUAGUACAGUAUCAUGACCAUGAUAAUGA
Molecule: small RNA, 261 nt
Filed under: Ursus americanus (American black bear)
Lineage: Eukaryota; Metazoa; Chordata; Mammalia; Carnivora; Ursidae
Description: 7SK RNA (ENSUAMG00000024746.1)
Rfam family: 7SK RNA
About the family: 7SK was discovered as an abundant small nuclear RNA in the mid-70s but a possible function has only recently been suggested.
Source: Rfam by way of RNAcentral